This 330-nucleotide ribosomal RNA is filed under the name uncultured eukaryote. RNAcentral describes it as "partial 18S ribosomal RNA". It matches the Rfam family "Eukaryotic small subunit ribosomal RNA", at positions 1470 to 1796 of the family's 1831-position model. The record is from RNAcentral.
CCCUUAGAUGUUCUGGGCCGCACGCGCGCUACACUGAUGCAUUCAACGAGUCUAAAACCUGGUCUGAUAGGGCUGGGUAAUCUUUUGAAUGUGCAUCGUGAUUGGGAUAGAUGAUUGCAAUUCUUCAUCUUCAACGAGGAAUGCCUAGUAAACGCAAGUCAUCAGCUUGCAUUGAUUACGUCCCUGCCCUUUGUACACACCGCCCGUCGCUCCUACCGAUUGAAUGUUCCGAUGAAUACCAUGGACUGAGAGUAUGAAUGGGUUCGCCUAUUUCUGCUUCGCGGGAAGUGGAGUAAAUCUUAACAUUUAGAGGAAGGAGAAGUCGUAACA